CUUUCCGAGGAGCGUUGCAGCGCCCCCACCAUGCGGGGCGUGAGGCUCGGAAUUCGAUCCAGGCAACGACGCUCACCCACU
This is a non-coding RNA of Acidovorax sp. 65-7, 81 nucleotides long. Lineage: Bacteria; Pseudomonadati; Pseudomonadota; Betaproteobacteria; Burkholderiales; Comamonadaceae. The record is from Rfam.